This 273-nucleotide ribosomal RNA is filed under the name uncultured bacterium. RNAcentral describes it as "partial 16S ribosomal RNA". It matches the Rfam family "Bacterial small subunit ribosomal RNA", at positions 524 to 796 of the family's 1533-position model. The record is from RNAcentral.
GACGGAGGGGGCUAGCGUUGUUCGGAAUUACUGGGCGUAAAGCGCGCGUAGGCGGCGCAUUAAGUCAGAGGUGAAAGCCCAGGGCUCAACCUUGGAACUGCAUCCGAUACUGGCAGGCUAGAAUAUAGGAGAGGGAGGUAGAAUUUCAGGUGUAGCGGUGAAAUGCGUAGAGAUCUGAAGGAAUACCAGUGGCGAAGGCGGCCUCCUGGCCUAAUAUUGACGCUGAGGUGCGAAAGCGUGGGGAGCAAACAGGAUUAGAUACCCCCGUAGUCC